This 492-nucleotide ribosomal RNA is filed under the name Escherichia coli. RNAcentral's name for it is "bacterial SSU rRNA". It matches the Rfam family "Bacterial small subunit ribosomal RNA", at positions 1 to 480 of the family's 1533-position model. Lineage: Bacteria; Pseudomonadati; Pseudomonadota; Gammaproteobacteria; Enterobacterales; Enterobacteriaceae. The record is from RNAcentral.
UUAAAUUGAAGAGUUUGAUCAUGGCUCAGAUUGAACGCUGGCGGCAGGCCUAACACAUGCAAGUCGAACGGUAACAGGAAGAAGCUUGCUUCUUUGCUGACGAGUGGCGGACGGGUGAGUAAUGUCUGGGAAACUGCCUGAUGGAGGGGGAUAACUACUGGAAACGGUAGCUAAUACCGCAUAACGUCGCAAGACCAAAGAGGGGGACCUUCGGGCCUCUUGCCAUCGGAUGUGCCCAGGUGGGAUUAGCUUGUUGGUGGGGUAACGGCUCACCAAGGCGACGAUCCCUAGCUGGUCUGAGAGGAUGACCAGCCACACUGGAACUGAGACACGGUCCAGACUCCUACGGGAGGCAGCAGUGGGGAAUAUUGCACAAUGGGCGCAAGCCUGAUGCAGCCAUGCCGCGUGUAUGAAGAAGGCCUUCGGGUUGUAAAGUACUUUCAGCGGGGAGGAAGGGAGUAAAGUUAAUACCUUUGCUCAUUGACGUUACCC